Molecule: RNA transcript, 1188 nt
Organism: Empidonax traillii (willow flycatcher)
Lineage: Eukaryota; Metazoa; Chordata; Aves; Passeriformes; Tyrannidae
Gene: RPL35A
Gene name: ribosomal protein L35a
Exons: 7
Source: RefSeq, a predicted model, not a curated record
UCCUUCCCGGCGGGCCGCGCGGGGCGGGUCUCUCUGUCCGCCAUCUUGGGGCGCUCGGGGCCUGCCGGGACCGGCUCUGCGCGAGGACGCCAUGACCGGGAGGCUGUGGUGCAAGGCCAUUUUUGCUGGCUACAAACGUGGCCUCCGAAACCAGCGGGAACACACGGCCCUUCUGAAGAUUGAAGGUGUUUAUGCCCGCCAGGAGACAGACUUCUACCUGGGCAAGAGGUGUGCCUAUGUGUACAAAGCUAAAAACAACACCGUAACCCCCGGGGGGAAACCCAACAGGACACGGGUGAUCUGGGGGAAGGUGACCCGGGCCCAUGGGAACAGUGGCAUGGUCCGUGCCAAGUUCCGCUCCAACCUUCCUGCCAAGGCCAUUGGACACAGAAUCCGGGUGCACAGCAAACUGACGUGUGGGAGGAAGCUAUGGCAUCAAAGGAGCCUGCCUCCUUCGUGGACCGGACCACCUGGGAGCUCCUCAACCUGCUGGACAUGCUGGGAAAGCGGAAUGGACGGGUGGGAGUAAUGGAGGUGGACGAUGCCGAAUCAAGAGCCCCCUCGUUGCUGGUGGACUUUACCCGGGACCUGUGUGGCACAGGUGACAUCAAACAUAAGCCACAGCAGGCAGGGAGUGAGGGAAAGGAAGAGGAGGAUGUGAUUCCACCACAUCUGAUUUUUAUGCUGUGGCAAGCCAGUGUGUUGAAGAGGCUCAUGCAGUGGGAUCAUUUGGAUGAGGCCAUCCGGGAUGUGAGGAACCUCCUCCCUUGCCUGCCGGAUGUGCUGGUGCUUGUGAUGAUCCGUCCAGACUGCCAGGAGCAGCUGGACCAGGCAGUGAGAGCACUGAGGAGAAUGCAGUGUGUGCUGGAUGGGGCCCUGCAACUGCCCGUGGAGACGGCGAUCUACAGCCCAAGCCAGCCUGGAAGUGUCCUGGAGGCAAAGAGAGCUGCCUGUAGAGCUCUGAGAGAAGCCUUGAACUGCCAUGAAGAAGUCGACUCCCAGGAGCCAUUUAUUAUUUCGCUCCCGGAGCUCAGAUAUUGCCGUGUUCUGCCUGAACGUAGGCAAGACAAGGUAUCAAAGAUGGAUGGAGAAUGAAUUCCCUUGGGCAGCAGAACCUGUCAGAUCUUUUAUUGCCCUAAGGUCUUCAUUAUCAUCAAAAGAAGGAUUAAAAGCCUGAUAUUUAUCUCA